GAAAUGCGAUAAGUAAUGUGAAUUGCAGAAUUCAGUGAAUCAUCGAAUCUUUGAACGCACCUUGCGCUCCUUGGUAUUCCUUGGAGCAUGCCUGUUUGAGUAUCAGGAAAUCUUCAAAGUAAAUCUUUUGUUAACUCAAUUGGUUUCUACUUUGGUAUUGGAGGUCUUUGCAGCUUCACACCUGCUCCUCUUUGUUCAUUAGCUGGAUCUCAGUGUUAUGCUUGGUUCCACUCGGCGUGAUAAGUUAUCUAUCGCUGAGGACACUGUAAAAGGUGGCCAAGGUAAAUGCAGAUGAACCGCUUCUAAUAGUCCAUUGACUUGGACAAUACUUUUAUGAUCUGAUCUCAAAUCAGGUAGGACUACCCGCUGAACUUAAGC
Molecule: unclassified non-coding RNA, 378 nt
Filed under: plant metagenome
Description: partial contains 5.8S ribosomal RNA, internal transcribed spacer 2, and large subunit ribosomal RNA
Rfam family: 5.8S ribosomal RNA (bases 1-105)
Source: RNAcentral